This 265-nucleotide small RNA is filed under the name Arabidopsis thaliana (thale cress). RNAcentral's name for it is "ATSL191200". Lineage: Eukaryota; Viridiplantae; Streptophyta; Magnoliopsida; Brassicales; Brassicaceae. The record is from RNAcentral.
AUUUUAGAAGUUUUACUUUAGUAACUAAUCGUAUAGUUAAUGCGGAGAGAUUUUGGGAAGGUAGUUAAAUGCAAAUAUUUAAUUCGAAGAUUUACUUUCUAAUUAUCAAAAAUAAUUAUUAAAUAUCAGUGGCAGCCACUGUAAAUAAGUCCCAACUUGAAGAUUUAUUUCACAGAAUGGCUGCAAAAAUAUAUAUGUAGAUUCUCAAACAACAAUGCUUUGAAGACGCCGUUGUCCAAGACUUCUUGCGACAACGAUACUUCUU